This 5071-nucleotide long non-coding RNA is filed under the name Sus scrofa (pig). RNAcentral describes it as "lncRNA (ENSSSCG00015045486.1)". Lineage: Eukaryota; Metazoa; Chordata; Mammalia; Artiodactyla; Suidae. The record is from RNAcentral.
UAUUUCUUGGGCCGCUCCCACAGCAUAUGGAGGUUCCCAGGCUAGGGGUCGAAUCGGAGCUGUAGCCACCGGCCUACGCCAGAGCCACAGCAACUCGGGAUCCGAGCCGCGUCUGCAACCUACACCACAGCUCACGGCAACGCCAGAUCGUUAACCCACUGAGCAAGGGCAGGGACCGAACCUGCAACCUCAUGGUUCCUAGUCAGAUUCGUUAACCACUGUGCCACGACGGGAACUCCGUGUUGAUAUUUUUGAGUACUCAAAGACAGGGAAAACUGCAUUAAGAAGAAAAGGUUUUCUUUUCCCUUCGACUAGCGGUUUUAAGAUCUUAAAACUACCAUGCUAUUAGGAGCACAAACAACCCUUGACUGUUGAAGGGCUGUUUUGUCAAGAAAAAAUUACUUCCAAGGAUUUCAGAACAGGCAUCAGCAUCAGGAUGAGCACAACCAGUGAAAGAUAUGCUACUCUCUUGCACAAAGUCGAACCUCAAUAGAUAGUUGUGGAAUGAAUAAGUAAAUCAAUAAAGCCAUGAUGAAUGAUGAAUAAAAAAACAUAAAUGAAAAUGAUAUAAAUAAUAUAUACAAAAUAAAAAUACUAUAAUAAGAUAAAUGAAUGAAAGUAUAUUGGCAAAGGAAAAAGCACUUUAUUCUAAACAAAUAUUUGUUUCGUGAUGACAUCCAGAUCCUAAAAACUUCUAAAUUGGUUUUACAAUGCCACAAAGUCUUGGCUCAUCUCAUGCAAAAGUACUGUUGCUUCAACACAAGGAAAGAAACUGGAACCUUCCUUCUGUUUUCCGGUUGCAAACAGUGACUGGCCUGGCAGGGUGGCAGAGAUUUGCUCAACCCUGUACCACUCCUAUCUGCUGCUUUGAAACAGCCAGGAGUAAGACACAACUGCCGUCUGAGGUUACCUUCCCCAGCAAAACAUAAAAAACUCUCUGCCCUUAUAUGUCAACCUAAUGCGUCCAGUGCAUAGGCUUAGAUUUAUUACCCUAAGGAACAGCUCUCUACGGAACAGCAAUCAAGACAGAGGGAGGGGGUGGAUCCAGCAGCCUCUUCUACCUGAUGGCAACAUAGCCAAUCAUAGUUGGUGAGGUUUAGUGCUUGUUUAUGUGUCAGCUCUGGUGAAAGACAUUUUCUUCAUGGAUAUGUUCUAUAUUUUUUCUUAGAACGUAAACUCUUAGGAAGAAUUUAAUUUUUGUUUUCUCUUUAUAAUAUAUGUGUGUGCAUGUGUUUAUAUCAUCAUGUAUGUGUAUAUGUGUAUGUGUGUAUAUAUAUAUAUAUGUAUAUCUAUGCCUAGAUCAUCAUACAUAGGUUUGUGUUUAUAUAUGUAUCAUCACAUGUGUGUUUGUGUUGUGUACUCUAAAAAAGCUAUCAAGCAAGUUUAGGAUUAAUUGAUUUCUUAUAUUGAUCUUUCCUUUCUCUGAAUUUCUAAUUACCCAUAUAAUUUCUAUUCAUUAUUAGGCCAUUUUAUUUAUUUAACAGAACAUAUUAGAAACAUGUGGAUUUUGGAGUUCCCGUCAUGUCUUAGUGGAAACGAAUCUGACUAGGAUCCAUGAAGUUGCAGGUUCGAUCUCUGGCCUCACUCAGUGGGUUAAGGAGCCAGUGUGGCCCUGAGCUGUGGUGCAGGUUACAGAAGUGGCUCGGAUCCCAUGUGGCUGUGGCUGUGGUGUAGACCAGCGGCGACAGCUCCGAUUCAACCCCUUAGCCAGGAAACUCCUUAUGCCAUGAGUGUGGCCCUAAAAAGACCAAAAAAAAAAAAAGUGGAUUUAAAAUCAGAUAACCCGAAUUUGAAUUCUAUAUCCGGUUACCUGGGCUUAUAACCCUGCUGACUCAAUUUCUUCCUUUGUGAAAAUGUAAUAAUUUAUCAUACCUUUGUAUGUGGUUAGAAACGCAGGUGACACAUUUAGCAUGCAGUAAAUGUUCACUGCAAUGACAACUGAUUUUUACCAUGGCCUUUCCCACGAUUUGAUCAGAAGCUCCUUGAGACUAAAAAGUGCUAUUUUGAAAUCCACCACAGAUUUUCUUCUCAAAGUAUCAAGCACAUGAUGGCACUCUACAAAUACGUGCUUAUCGCACUGAACCGUAACAACAUGCAUUUAAAGAUAAAAAGUUAUCUCACUCAUCCAAGAACACAGGCAAAGUCCAUCCACAGUCUCCUUUGCACCUUACCAUGCACCUUAGCUGUGGUCGUGCCCCAUACACUUCUGAGCACCACGAGAGCAAGGAAAUACGUCUUUAAAGAAGCGCUUUUAAAAAUGACUGUAAUUACCUAUAAUCCUUAUACUUGGAACCCACACGAAUCUAAGGUGGAUUUGACUUCUAUAAAGGUGAGGCAUCUGACCCCCACAGAUUCUGAUCAGCGUUGUCCUACGUACCUGCCACGAUACACAGCACAAAAGAACCCGUGCCUUUGGUUCAACCCACCUGGGCAAGAGAUGCAAAGAGAUGACAAGAUAAUUCGAUGACUGGAAACCAGGGCUCCUGCCAUUCAACAGGUAAUACACCCAAGCAAAGCAAUCGAUUUCGACAGCCUUCUGUUUUCAGCCCAUAGCUCAGACAUUCUCAUAAUUCACGUAAACCGAAAGUGCUUUGUUUAUCUUGCCUAAAACAUGGUUAAACCAAAUAAAGGAGGCCACAGUUCGUAUGAAACGCCCAUGGAUGAUUUUUUUCAAAUAUUUACAAUGACUUGACUCGAAAAAUGAAACAAGUCGAGCACCAAUAUUUAUUUUUUUCCCCUCACUCUGUCCCAGUUGCAUUUCCAGCUGGCUCUAUGUCUCACAAAAGAAGAGGCACUAAGAUAAUUACUGUGUCUACUGAGCAAUUCUUCGUUUUGAUCGCUCCAUGGCCCUUCAUUUCCUAUCAUCAGGGUGCCAUCCAGAAUCAUUAUUUUCCAUUUUCCUGUUACACUGCCUGUCUAAUUAAUAGCAGUUCUCGUUUUAAACCCUAUUGCUGGCCCCGAUCCAGCCUUACCUAACAUUCUCUAAAGGCUACACACAACUCCUUUCGGUUCGAGUCAAUUGUUAUGACUACUUUUCCUAUAAUUAUCCCAAGGGCACCAGAGCCUAAGCUCCUGCAACGCAAAGGGCGAGAUUUAUAGGCUUAGGGGGAAACAAGAUUUAUGUCAGUCAACAUUUUUUGCAAAUCUCUAUGCAAAUAUCAGAGACAGUCUCAGAAACUGGAUGAGAAACACCAGCUGAUUGCACCUCAUUUUUAUGAAUACAGUCUUCCUGUGGUCUGACAUUGUACUGGGAGCAUCGGUCAUGGUACCUGCCCCACCCAAUGUGCUUUCCGGAGGACACCGGUUGCCCCCAUGCCCAGCUGGAGAAAGCAGCUGUAGGCAGUACCCUGUGUAGAGGCUCCUGUUCUGUGCCAGGUUUUAAACCUCUGGAUCUAAUGAGUGGGACCAGAAGGGGUGCCUGAUGGCCAAAACUUAGGUGGACCAGAAACCUAUGAGAUGACUCAGUAUGAAAGUUCAGCCCCGGGAGUGCUCGUUGUGGCACGUUGGAAACGAAUCUGACUAGUAGCCAAAAGGAUGAAGGUUCGAUCUCUGACCUUGCUCAGUGGGUCGGGGACCUGGCAUUGCCAUGAGCUGCGGUGUAGGCCACAGAUGUAGCUCAGAUCCCACGUUGCUGUGGCUGUGGUGUAGGCUGGCAGCUCUACAGCUGAUUCGACUCCUAGCCUGGGAACCUCCCUGUGUCUCGGGUGCGGCCCUAAAAAAAAAAAGACAAAAAAAAAAAAAACAUUUUUAUUAUUUCUUCAUGUUUAAAAAAUAGCUUUACAGUCAGGUUCUUGAAACCCUAAGUCUUCCUAAAUGUCCUGAUUUCUACCUCCAGGGGUCAUUGGAGAGUUCCCUGAGUUUUUCUCUCUUCUCUCCUCUUCUCUAGGCUAGAGCAGGAUGGGGAACCGAGGGGGCUUGCACGUUGAGAUACGACCUGUAAAUGGCACACUUAAAAGCUCUGUGAAUAAUAGUCAAGCUAACAGUCUGACAUAAUUCUCCACGAUGUACUCCUGUUCUAAAUGCUCUAUCAAUAUAAAAAGGGCACUUUCUUUAAAUUAAGCUAUAAGUAUAUAUAAAGCAAAUGAGUAUAAAAUAUAUAUCCCUAUUAUCACUGCUGAGAAACACUGUCAUAGGAGAGAAGAAAAAUACUUCUUUCUAGUUCCUACCGUAGAGUGAAUCAGUGGUUCUGAUAAACAGGUCCAAUGUGGGGGAGUGAGCUCCCCACACCAACAGUGACAACUGACACCAGCGAGGUGUCACACAAUUCAAGUCCAUGUGGACACUAUCAACCUGGGAGAGAGCAUCAGAUCCUACAGGUCAGGGCUCAGUCCUACAAGACAGCAGCCCCCCACUCCCACCCCAAUCCCCACGUCUCACAAACUUCAGAGGGAGUCACGAGCCCAGGUUGUCACCUGUGUGUCGGACCAACUGGUCGCAGACUGGAGAUUCAAACAUUCCCCCCUCCUUGGGCAUGAUUCAUUUGCUAAAGCGGUUCACGGAACCCAGAGAAAUAUUUUACUUACUGGAUUACCAGUUUAUCACAAAAGGACAUACUAAAGGAUACAGGUGAACGUGCACAUGGAAGAGAUGGACACGUAAGGUAUGCUGAAAGGAUAUGGGACAUCCAUGAGCUCUCUGAGCCUGUCACUCUUCCCAAACCUCCACUUUGCCCAAAUCUCCACCCUUUCCAAAUCUCCCUUCCUCCGAAAUCUCCUCCACCGUGGAAGCUCUCUGAACCCUCUCCUUUGGAGUGUUUACAAAGGCUUCAUUACAAAGGCUUGAUUGACUAAGUCAUUGGCCAUUGUUGCCCUCCAUCCAUCUCCAACCCUCUUCCCUUCCCAGAAGUGGGACUGAAAGCUCUAACCCUCCAAUUACAUGGCUGGUGCUCUUGGCAACCAGCCCCCAUGGUUAAGUGACGUAAAGACUUUUCAGAAGUCACCUGAUUAAUGUAACAAAAGAUAGCUUUAUUGCCUUUAUCACAGGCAUCUCCAAGGGUUUUAAGACCUAUGAAUCAGCAACCCUGAAAAAAGACUGAAUAUAUAUGAGAAAUAAAUUUUGGCUGUCUGAAUGA